CAGUAGCCGCGGGAAUACAGAGGGUGCAAGCGUUAAUCGGAAUUACUGGGCGCAAAGCGUGCGCAGGCGGUUCGUUAAGACAGAUGUGAAAUCCCCGGGCUUAACCUGGGAACUGCAUUUGUGACUGGCGAGCUAGAGUAUGGCAGAGGGGGGUAGAAUUCCACGUGUAGCAGUGAAAUGCGUAGAGAUGUGGAGGAAUACCGAUGGCGAAGGCAGCCCCCUGGGCCAAUACUGACGCUGAGGUGCGAAAGCGUGGGGAGCAAACAGGAUUAGAUACCCGCGUAGUCCCUGUCUCUUAUAC
RNAcentral lists this ribosomal RNA (301 nucleotides) under uncultured bacterium. RNAcentral's name for it is "partial 16S ribosomal RNA". It matches the Rfam family "Bacterial small subunit ribosomal RNA", at positions 509 to 807 of the family's 1533-position model. The record is from RNAcentral.